This 496-nucleotide ribosomal RNA is filed under the name uncultured bacterium. RNAcentral describes it as "partial 16S ribosomal RNA". It matches the Rfam family "Bacterial small subunit ribosomal RNA", at positions 28 to 506 of the family's 1533-position model. The record is from RNAcentral.
GAUGAACGCUGGCGGCGUGCCUAAUACAUGCAAGUCGAGCGAACAGACGAGGAGCUUGCUCCUCUGACGUUAGCGGCGGACGGGUGAGUAACACGUGGAUAACCUACCUAUAAGACUGGGAUAACUUCGGGAAACCGGAGCUAAUACCGGAUAAUAUAUUGAACCGCAUGGUUCAAUAGUGAAAGACGGUUUUGCUGUCACUUAUAGAUGGAUCCGCGCCGCAUUAGCUAGUUGGUAAGGUAACGGCUUACCAAGGCAACGAUGCGUAGCCGACCUGAGAGGGUGAUCGGCCACACUGAAACUGAGACACGGUCCAGACUCCUACGGGAGGCAGCAGUAGGGAAUCUUCCGCAAUGGGCGAAAGCUUGACGGAGCAACGCCGCGUGAGUGAUGAAGGUCUUCGGAUCGUAAAACUCUGUUAUUAGGGAAGAACAAAUGUGUAAGUAACGAUGCACGUCUUGACGGUACCUAAUCAGAAAGCCACGGCUAACUACGU